AGUUACAAUAGUUUAAAAGAAAACAAAGGUUUUGUAACCCUUAAUUGAUUAAAUCUUGUAAUUUC
This 65-nucleotide transfer RNA is filed under the name Ornithodoros turicata. RNAcentral describes it as "tRNA-Thr". It matches the Rfam family "tRNA". Rfam says of the family: Transfer RNA (tRNA) molecules are approximately 80 nucleotides in length. The record is from RNAcentral. Lineage: Eukaryota; Metazoa; Arthropoda; Arachnida; Ixodida; Argasidae.